GGAACCCAGUCUGGUAAGUGUUAGCCACACGCCAGUAUCUAGCCUUGGAGCCGAAGCCGUGAGGUCAGGUUUAAGAGUAGGAAAGAAACCAUAUGAGCCGUAAUGCGAAAGCGUAAAGUGAUUGAGCCUCGUUAGAUUAGAUAGAAUGGAAGCUGAUGCCGUCACCUCGGCAGCAAGCAAUAAUGCUUAUUCGAAAUGGCAAGAAUAAGUAGGUUCCAUCUGGGUCAGAGAACA
This is a non-coding RNA of Youngiibacter fragilis 232.1, 234 nucleotides long. NCBI's taxonomy places the organism in Bacteria, Bacillati, Bacillota, Clostridia, Eubacteriales, Clostridiaceae. The record is from Rfam.